This 301-nucleotide ribosomal RNA is filed under the name uncultured bacterium. Its description in RNAcentral is "partial 16S ribosomal RNA". It matches the Rfam family "Bacterial small subunit ribosomal RNA", at positions 509 to 808 of the family's 1533-position model. The record is from RNAcentral.
CAGCCGCCACGGGAAUACGUAGGGGGCAAGCGUUAUCCGGAAUAACUGGGCGUAAAGGGUGCGCAGGUGGUUUAACAAGUUAGUGGUGAAAGGCAUAGGCUCAACCAAUGUAAGCCAUUGAAACUGUUUAACUUGAGUGCAGGAGAGGAAAGUGGAAUUCCUAGUGUAGCGGUGAAAUGCGUAGAUAUUAGGAGGAAUACCAGUGGCGAAGGCGACUUUCUGGACUGCAACUGACACUGAGGCACGAAAGCGUGGGGAGCAAACAGGAUUAGAUACCCGUGUAGUCCCUGUCUCUUAUACA